RNAcentral lists this unclassified non-coding RNA (192 nucleotides) under Moritella viscosa. RNAcentral describes it as "putative sRNA". Lineage: Bacteria; Pseudomonadati; Pseudomonadota; Gammaproteobacteria; Alteromonadales; Moritellaceae. The record is from RNAcentral.
AGCCUACAGCGAAUAGUAGGCCAUCACUCUCAUUAGUCGUUCUUAAAUCCCCUCUUAUUCUUUCGAUAACCCAUUCAUAGACGCCAUAUAUCUCAUAUCCUUUCCAUAGCGAUAAACCAACUCGGCUGAUAUUUAAAUCGAUCUCAAGAAAGUAUGUAAAUAAAGUAAACAAUGUAAAGUAGUGCAAUGUAA